GCCAAAACCAACUCCAAAGCCAACCCCAAAGGCAACGCCAAAACCAACUCCAAAGCCAACGCCAAAACCAACCCCAAAAGCCACUCAGAAACCAACUCCCAAAAAGCUAGAACCGGCAAAACAACCUCUGCCUCCCGGUGCAAUAUUUCACGCACACAACAGGAAACCUGAAGCUACCGUAGCUACGCUGACGAAGGCUGUAACAGAGAGCAAGCAGAACCAACACCUCGACACUGUUCAGAAUCAAUUCCCAGCGAGGGCUGCCAACAUACACUCAGGCGGGAAUUCUCUGUCGACCCACACCAAGGUUAUCCUCGUAUCGUUGUCCAUCAUCACUAUUGCUCUCACCGUCACCGUUAUUGGCGUCUGGUUCAGGAGAAUAAACCUGUACACCGCGCGGUACGGGAGACACACACUGCUGGAGGAGAACGACGAAGAAUUUGGCGUCUUCAACCGACUCACUUACAACUCAUAUGAUGACAACUCCUACGAGUCAUGGAAGAAUCACACCUACUGAACCCCCGGGCAUGUUUACCAAGUCUGACAUCAUAAUAGCACCAUAGAUAUUUACGUCAUAUGGAAAGAUUUGGUUAGGUUGCAGGAGUAGCCAGAGUUAUUACUUCACAAUGCAGUACGCGACUUGGCCAAUCAGAUUGAAGUAUUUGUUUAUGUUAAUGAGUGAAGCUUCUUUUAAUUGUUCAUGGCUUUGGAAGGUUCAUACCCGCCAUAUACAAGUGAAGAAAGUCAAACAGAUAACUCGACCAGUGAUACCAACUUCCAAAAUUCAUAAAGUGAAGCAUUUUAUUUAUUCAGAUGUCGACAAAUAUUAGGAAAGAAGCAAAAAUCCAAAAUGCCUAACUACAGACAAGAUAUAUCACCAUAGUCUUAGAUUUUAUCAUCAGAAAGUGUUUCAAACAUACACUUUCAACAUCAAUAGUAAAACAAGAUUAAUUUACAAAGUACUGUACAUAAAAACACAGAGAAAAAAGUCUUCCAAGUCACUACGCACUAAGGCUAUACGUUUAAGUGUUGAUAUGUGAACUAGUUAAGUAAGUAAUGUUAAUUUGUAUCUACAGUAUAUGUAUUUUUCGUCAGUUUUCUACAUCACUAUCCAGUAAAUGAGAUGCACAAGUUUAUCCCCAAAAUAUACAAAUGUACAGAACAUAACCAAUAUAAAACUGUAUCAAGUCUCAGUUACAAAGGUAACAGGAUACUCAGGACAGCAACAAAUGGAAAUUACAAAUACUCAAUACCGGAAAUAUGUGAACCAAAAUAUACGCGAAGACUAUUUAUCCGUGAUGUAAACAAAAGAUGUGGUAUGAACUUGGUUUUGAGAAAUAUGAAUGUGGGACAGUGUAGAAAAGUAUUAAAACCGUUUGGCAAUGAAAAAAAGAUAAUGGGAAAUUUAAAAACAUCUAAUAUACUAUAGGACUAGCCGUCUGUCUGUCUGUUCUGGGCAACCGAAACGGCACAAUCAUUUUUCAUCAAACUUGGUGGAAAAAUCGCAAAAAAAUCGUAGAUUGGAACAAACCUGGUCCCAUGUCGAUGGUUUCUUUAGGAAGGCAUUAAUUAACCAUUUUAUUUCCGAUGGAAAACGAUGCAAGUCUACGGACUUGGCGCACCCUCAUUCGCUGUACGCUGUCACGAGCGUUAUAACUUUCACAAGGGCACGUAGGGCCCGCGAUCACUUGUCUUAUUCUAUACACAACCCCACGUUCACAUCCAAGACAGAAUGGUAAAAAAAAUUAAUUUGAUGAAACUGUAUCCUAACUACAAUGUAAAAAAAGGAUAACUAUUAGAAAUUCAUAUAAAAUUGAAGGUGUUAUAAAUAAUAAAUAAUGGAGAAUUGGUGUGGCUGACUGCUUUCCGAGCGAGUCACUUCUGGAGUUCAAAAUUGGUACAAAACUGUUUGGGGGGAACUUUUGUGUGUUUGUGUAAAUAGGACGUUUAGAGGGUGUGUGUGUGUGUGUGUGUGUACCUUUUAAUCUUUAUGUGGGAUGGGGAGACUAACCUAAUCUAACCAAACCCACCUAAGUUUUUUGCAUGUUAAAGUUGAAUGAUUUGAAGCUGAUAUGGCAAGGAUUUUUGGUCCCAUAAACACCUUCUAAACUUUUUUAUAAAAUUUCCGAGACAGUAUCGUACCCAAUCAGAAUGCUCUGCAAGCUUUGAAAUAAACCAAAGCGACUUCACUGCUUGAGGUUUGCACGACUUAUAAGUUGUCAUUUUAUAUAGUGUACACAAUACAACCGAAUACAAAUAUCUAUACCUGUACAGCUUAUGCAACUUCAUGCAGUACAUUAGUUAGUGUUUUAAAUUUUACUGAAUUUUUUCCGUUUUUUAGUCAUCACAACUAAUCAUUGAAGCAGUGCUGAAAUUUUGCGCCUUUGUAGUCUUUCAUGUUUUAUGUUUUCAGGUUGUGUAAAAUCAAACAACUGCCAGCGCCCUAGAACACUGAGUAACUGGCUACUUCAUGAGAACUUCUUGUACCUUUACGACUAACUCUUGAUCAUGCUUAUUUCCCGUCAUUUCUAUGUUUAUAAGCGACAUUAGACUGUACGCUCUCCUCAGGACAGGGGGCAGAAUAUUUUUUACCAAUGACCAAAACCUUAAUUAAUACUGAAUUGUUAAUGUGAGUUAUUUUACAUUUAAGCAAGCAAAAAUAUUCCCAUACUCCUGACUGAAGUGCUGUGUUUGUGUUAAGAUUGCUGUACACCCUGUAGCCUUGCUAUCGUCUGGUGAGAAAACUGUGCUGUGAAAAGGUGAUAAUAUUACUACGCCGUUGGUAGUGCCUUACUAGGAUAUGUGAUUGAUUAGAAUGUCAUGUUGAAUUAUGCAGAAAAUAUACUUGUUUUGUGACUUAUCUGAACAAUAAUAAACUGGUAUAAAUA
This is a long non-coding RNA of Homarus americanus (American lobster), 2888 nucleotides long. RefSeq lists it as uncharacterized. NCBI's taxonomy places the organism in Eukaryota, Metazoa, Arthropoda, Malacostraca, Decapoda, Nephropidae. The transcript is spliced from 3 exons. The record is from RefSeq and is a predicted model, not a curated record.